RNAcentral lists this long non-coding RNA (256 nucleotides) under Phoenix dactylifera (date palm). Its description in RNAcentral is "long non-coding RNA (PDAC_LNC016927)". The record is from RNAcentral. Lineage: Eukaryota; Viridiplantae; Streptophyta; Magnoliopsida; Arecales; Arecaceae.
UGUUUCGCGAGAUCACAACGAACUCGGUCGGUUUUCACAGGCUCACCGACUAGAACCAACCGAUUGUUUUUCCGGGUUCACAAUCAAACCCAGUUGGUUUUUCCAAAGGCUCACCAACCACAACCUUACAACGAUUGUUUUCCGGAUUCACAAUCAACCCAGUUGGUUUUCCCAAAGGCUCACCAACCACAACCUUACAAUGUUGGUUUUCCCUUUGGCUCACCAACAAACCUUAACCCCUUGAUUCAAUCCCUUG